GUGGGGAAUAUUGGACAAUGGGCGAAAGCCUGAUCCAGCCAUGCCGCGUGCAGGAUGAAGGCCUUCGGGUUGUAAACUGCUUUUGUACGGAACGAAAAGACUCCUUCUAAUAAAGGGGGUCCAUGACGGUACCGUAAGAAUAAGCACCGGCUAACUACGUGCCAGCAGCCGCGGUAAUACGUAGGGUGCAAGCGUUAAUCGGAAUUACUGGGCGUAAAGCGUGCGCAGGCGGUUAUAUAAGACAGAUGUGAAAUCCCCGGGCUCAACCUGGGAACUGCAUUUGUGACUGUAUAGCUAGAGUACGGUAGAGGGGGAUGGAAUUCCGCGUGUAGCAGUGAAAUGCGUAGAUAUGCGGAGGAACACCGAUGGCGAAGGCAAUCCCCUGGACCUGUACUGACGCUCAUGCACGAAAGCGUGGGGAGCAAACAGGAUUAGAUACCCUUGUAGUCC
This 450-nucleotide ribosomal RNA is filed under the name uncultured bacterium. RNAcentral describes it as "partial 16S ribosomal RNA". It matches the Rfam family "Bacterial small subunit ribosomal RNA", at positions 354 to 796 of the family's 1533-position model. The record is from RNAcentral.